CCCCACGAAGCUCCCUUCCUCGACUAGUCGAGACAACUGUUGCUCUCUUUCGGCACAACUACUGCUCCUUUUCCAUGGUGUCCCGUAAAGGCUCAAACCAACCAAGAAACAACGACUUCAUAUAUGGCAAAUUUGAGGCCAGCUUCUUCAUGCACAUGUCCAUCAAAAGUUCCUUAUACUCUUUUGCCACUCGUUCCCACGCCUCUGUCUCAAUCUUCACCUGCCUCCUCCUUAGAACUCGUAUAGCCUCUGGGACAAAACUCGCUACUUCCAAAACUUGUCCUCCACAUAAAGUCCUCAUGUGAAAAAAAACUCGUCAUGUCGAUGAUAACCCAUUUCCGAAAACCCAUUAUCCCAGCAAGCAUUAAGCUCAGAGGGCCUAAAUCUGAAUUCUGCAAGGAAGACCGAGUCCUGGUACGACCCAGAAAGCUAUGAACCCGUAUGAGGUAAUGGGAAUUGAGGACAAAACUCAGGGACAUUGAAAUAGCUCAUUUGGCAAUAUUACUCCACAUGCCAAUGGAAAUCCUUGAAGGGCUUAAAGGAAAAUUUGUUUCUUUACAAAAGGGAAGAAGAGUAUCGAUUUUACUGCAAAGAUUUGUAGAGACUAUAGGGGUUUAACUACUUUAGAUCAAUUUGAAUCAAAAUUUGAUGACAAUGAAAUUGAUGGGAUGGAGUGGGACUAGGAUGCAAUUGUGAUUAGAGGAAAUGGGUUGUAAAAGAAGGAAAAACACAGCUGACGACGAGAUCGAGGUCAAGCACCAAAAAGGGAAUCCAAAAAGAGUUUUGUUCUUUUUUUUUUUUUUAAAUAUUAGCUGACGUCAGCCAUUUACUCACCGUUUACAUUCAAUGACUGUACCUAGCAGAAGUGCUAUUGAUAAUUUU
This is a long non-coding RNA of Juglans microcarpa x Juglans regia, 882 nucleotides long. RefSeq lists it as uncharacterized. The record is from RefSeq and is a predicted model, not a curated record. The transcript has 3 exons. NCBI's taxonomy places the organism in Eukaryota, Viridiplantae, Streptophyta, Magnoliopsida, Fagales, Juglandaceae.